Long non-coding RNA from Sinocyclocheilus anshuiensis, 413 nucleotides. RefSeq lists it as uncharacterized. The transcript has 3 exons. The record is from RefSeq and is a predicted model, not a curated record. Lineage: Eukaryota; Metazoa; Chordata; Actinopteri; Cypriniformes; Cyprinidae.
UAAAUAUUAUGUGUAUGACUACUGCAACUCACUAUACUGUGGUAGUUCUAAGUCAUCAAUCGAUCGCCUUCAACUAGUUCAAAAUGCUGCUGCCAGAUUCCUUCAUAAUAGCCGCAAAAGUGCUCACAUCACUCCAAUUCUGCGGACCCUUCAUUGGCUGCCUAUUAAAUUCAGAAUUGAUUUUAAAAUUAUUUUAUUUGUAUAUAAAUCUUUAAAUGAUCUAGCCCCUAUUUAUUUAUCUGAAUUACUAUACCCAUAUACUCCAUCCAGACGCUUAAGAUCCAGUGAUCAGAAUCUUCUUCUAGUCCCACAAUCCAGACUCAAACGUAGAGGGGAUCGUGCUUUUUCAGUGGUUGGGCCGCGGCUGUGGAAUAGCCUCCCUUUAGAGAUUAGACUUGCCCCUUCUCUGUCCA